UCUGAGACCUGAAUUACACAUAUAUUACGGAUUACCCCUGACUUAAUGUUAUUUUCCAGUGCAGGUAUUUGUUGACAACACAUAUAUAUUGAAAAACCCAACCUAGUUGAUGUGUUCGGCAUACGUGAAGGAUUUUCUAAUUUGCUGUGAACAUAAUUUUAUCGUGUAUGUAAUAAUUUAUAAUAACACUUUUAACAUUAAAUUUAAGUAUUAAAAGUGUAAAAUGCGUGAUUUUGUAUCAAAAAUGUAUUAUUGAAUGAAGCACGUCAUUAUUUUCCCUCUGUGAGCCUCUGACAGUCUGAUAGCUUUUGACUACGUCACAUAGUAACCGGUGUUAUGAUGACGUUUUUGAGGUUCCAAUUGGGGAUAAAAACGUCGUAUAUACCCCGGCAGUUUCCUGAAUAUAUACUGACAUCUCUGUGUUGUUAUCCAAUCACAAACCUCGACACAUUUGUAAUCCGUAAUAUAUAAUAAUAUAUGUCUCUGGUUAU
This 491-nucleotide long non-coding RNA is filed under the name Mytilus galloprovincialis (Mediterranean mussel). The record is from RNAcentral. Lineage: Eukaryota; Metazoa; Mollusca; Bivalvia; Mytilida; Mytilidae.